GUGGGGAAUAUUGCACAAUGGGCGCAAGCCUGAUGCAGCCAUGCCGCGUGUAUGAAGAAGGCCUUCGGGUUGUAAAGUACUUUCAGCGGGGAGGAAGGCGAUAAGGUUAAUAACCUUGUCGAUUGACGUUACCCGCAGAAGAAGCACCGGCUAACUCCGUGCCAGCAGCCGCGGUAAUACGGAGGGUGCAAGCGUUAAUCGGAAUUACUGGGCGUAAAGCGCACGCAGGCGGUCUGUCGAGUCGGAUGUGAAAUCCCCGGGCUCAACCUGGGAAGUGCAUUCGAAACUGGCAGGCUAGAGUCUUGUAGAGGGGGGUAGAAUUCCAGGUGUAGCGGUGAAAUGCGUAGAGAUCUGGAGGAAUACCGGUGGCGAAGGCGGCCCCCUGGACAAAGACUGACGCUCAGGCACGAAAGCGUGGGGAGCAAACAGGAUUAGAAACCCUUGUAGUCC
This 450-nucleotide ribosomal RNA is filed under the name uncultured bacterium. Its description in RNAcentral is "partial 16S ribosomal RNA". It matches the Rfam family "Bacterial small subunit ribosomal RNA", at positions 354 to 796 of the family's 1533-position model. The record is from RNAcentral.